This 1266-nucleotide long non-coding RNA is filed under the name Homo sapiens (human). RNAcentral's name for it is "HSALNT0273404". The record is from RNAcentral. Lineage: Eukaryota; Metazoa; Chordata; Mammalia; Primates; Hominidae.
AGUCCUAACCCCCAGUACCUGAUAAUGUGACUAUAUUUGCAUAAAGCGUCUUUAAAAAGAUAAAUGAAGCUGGCUGUGGUGGUGCGCACCUGUAGGCCCAGCUACUCAGGAGGCUGAGGCAGGAGGAUCACUUGAGCCCAGUAGUUCAAGGCUGCAAUGAGCUGUGAUCAUGGCGCUGCACUCCAGCCUGGGUGACAGGGCAAGACUCUGACUCUUAACAAAUAAGAGUGAAAUAAAUGAGGUUAAAUUAGGUCAUAAAGGUGGGUCCUAAUCCAAUAUGACUAGUGUCGUAAGAAGAGAUUAGGACACAGACACACGCAGGGAAGACCAUGUGAGGAGCCAGGGAAAAAAUAGCCAUCUACAAACGAAGGAGAUAGUCCUUGGGAAAAACCAACCCUGCUGACACCUUGAUCUCAGACUUCUAGCCUCCAGAACUGUGAGAAAAUUAAUUUCUGUUGUUUCCCAGGCUGUUGUAUGUUACAGCAGCCCUAGGAAACUUAAUACACACAGGGUCGUCAAACGAAAGCUGCAGGAUUAUGCCCCAAUUAACUGAUUGCAGGAACAGUGCUCUUUUCCCUCCAGGCAGCAUGUACCUUGGCAUGAACUAGAAAAGGCUCCCAUUGCUAGAGAUAAAUUCUACUAUUUGUUAGGAAACUGACCUAGGAUGACCCCUAUGAGAAUGGUGCCCCUAGAGUUGCUCAGUGCCUGGCACGCACUACUGUACCUGGUGACCUAGAGUGGAAAGCACAUUUGGACACCCUCCACGGCAGCGUAACACAGGCCAUUGAUGAGGCUGAGGCUCCCCAAGCACUAGACAGCAGUAAGCUCUGUGAACAUGGGCUGAGAUGAGCCAGUGAAGCCUCAUAAUGUCCAAGCAGCACCUGCACCAGGAAGGCUCAAAGCGGCUUUUGACAUCUUCAGUGGUACUCGUAAGGUAUCAUCACAGAGGGGCUGUGUGGCCUGCAGGCAACCCUUGCUGUCUUCUCACUGUUUUAAUAGUGUAAGAACUUUGAAAUCUACAUGUAAUGUAAUGCAUUAGGUCUCCUUUUUGCCUAAAUAAUGUGAGAUUUGGAUUUAAUGUUGAUUUUGGUCAACUGGUUCAAAUAUUACAUAUCAUAUUGUAAUUAGAUUGCCUAAAAGUAUUUGUUCUCAAAAGAAUGAUUUUUAAAACAAGAGCAACAAGCCAAGGGGGUGACAGGGAGUGGUUACAGUUUGGCCAUCAUCCUAACAUCAGCCUUUUGGUUACACAAAAAUCUGUCCCAAAGA